This is a long non-coding RNA of Jaculus jaculus (lesser Egyptian jerboa), 3790 nucleotides long. RefSeq lists it as uncharacterized. The transcript is spliced from 3 exons. The record is from RefSeq and is a predicted model, not a curated record. Lineage: Eukaryota; Metazoa; Chordata; Mammalia; Rodentia; Dipodidae.
CGCCGCCCGCGGGGAGCCGGCCACUCCCGGCCUACGAAGGCUGGGCUCCGGGCGUGCAGAAACACCAGGUACCAGGCUGAGCCUAAAGGAAGAGCCGGGGGACCGCCCGGGCGCACCCCGCUUGCUCCCUCGUCCUCUCUCUUUGUCCAGCGCCCUCGCCUCCUCUCAAAGUUUUCCCGACACAAAGACUCACACCUGGUGACAGCCCGCAGCGCGCCGCGGCGGUGUUGGUGGCGGCGACGCGGUUUCAGCUCUGCUGAUGUUUCAGCAGAAGUAAUGUCCAAGACCGGCCAACUUCAGCAGCGAUGCUCAUAGCAAUCGUCGAGCUGGAUGCUUAGCAUGCAAAACACCAUGUCCUCCGGGUGGUCAUUUUCGUCCAUUUGUGCACCCAAGACUGGGUGCCUGAAGCUGUCUAAAUUGCUCGAGGGCAUGGCUAGCCCCCUCCCUCCUCAUGGGUACUCUUACCUGCACAGUGACUAGACACAGUACCCACUGCAGCAUGGCUCCGAAGGCGCCUAGUCCCUGUCUGUUUCCUCUCCCCAGCAUUUGCUCUUUUCCAGCCAGAUCAAUAAUCCCCUGGAGUCCUAUCAUGAUCAAAAGUCCAUCUAGAAAAAUAUGGCUCCCACAAGGGGUAAUGCCCUGUGCUGAACAAUCUGCGCUUCCCCAGCCUCAGACAGCCCAGCUCAGAUUGUACUUUGUACCAACCAAUAGCCCGGGGUAGGAAGAGUCCCGUUAAGUUUGACUGAAAUGAGAUAAUUAUCACUCCCCCCUCCGACUUGUACUGAUUGUAGCAAUUCUUGAUGCAAGGAAAUACAACUUUUCAGAAAUGAUUGUGGGCCUUCGGAAAGGCUCCUAGAAGUUUGAAUGUGGAGAGAAGAGUCCUGUUGGGGAAACCACAUGGGAUGUCCCUACCUGUCUGGGAAGCAUCUGCCCAUGAAUGGACAUGCAGAUUGGUAGUGUCACCAGGAACGCCAGAGGGAUCUGGGGACUGGCAGCAUCCAUGUGUCUCCAGGGCCAAGGCUGGGAGGGUUAAGAGGGCCUCUUUCCUUUCCAAGCCAGUGACCAUGCUACCUGUGUCCAGAAUCCUUCUGCCUCUGUGUGGGUAGACAGGAGCAGGAGGGAGGCUUCUAUGCUGUGGUGUGGAGGGGGAGAGAAGGUUUCUGGCUUUGUUGGCCUUGGGAGCCAGAAUACUCUUUCCCCUGCAGGAGGAGCUCCCGCUGCCCUGCUUACAGAGCUGCGAGGAAGCACACAGAGGAGAGGGAAAAGUUCUACAGUGGCCUCCUGUGAGUGUGGGAGUGAUCUACUCACCCACCCUAACCCAGCACUUCACUUCCUUCCCCUCCCUUUGCAGAGUCCGUGUGCUUUUACUCCCUCUGCCGUGAGCUCUCCGAGAAACACGCCUUUUCCCUCUGGUGAGACUUUCUGAUGUUGAACACAACGUCAAAUGCCACCCUUUCUGAUUUCUGUCCAUUAAAAGUAGAAGCCAGGCAUCACAAGAAGGUUUUGCAUCAGUGUGGCUGCUCAGGCUCAACACCAUUCCUGCUUUGCACCCAUCAAAGAGAAAUAAUGCUGAGUAUUCAGGAAGCAGUGGAAACUCAUGCUGAACAGUUCCGUUCUCUACAGAGAACUCCUUGGACCCAAGCUCUCAAGUAGGAUCUUACAGGCACGUCUGCUGGGAAACGGAGCUAGCGUAACAAGGGAUAAAGACUUUUAUUCCAUUCUGGAUCAACAUUGUCUAGUGUGAUGGAGAAUCAAUACCAGUUUCCACCUGGCCACCCUCAAAUCAUCAUCAUCGUGCUGCUGAAGCCAGAGUUGGGAAGAGAUGCAAAUGACACAUGAUGAUAUGCAUCUCCACCAGGUAUGCUCAGGAAAGACAAAAAAUAUUAAGAGCACAGAAAACAAUGAAGCUCUAAGUACUUACUGACUUUGUGUUUGGUAUAAUUUACUGGAUUGUAAAUUUAUAUAUUUUAUGUGUUCUGCUAUUUUAAUUGUAAAAUUAUAUUUUAGGGAUUGAGGAAGAAGCUCAGUCAGUAAAGUGCUUGCCUUGCAGAAUGGAGACCUGAGCUUGAUUUUCCAUAUCCCUCAUAAAAAUACCAGAUGUGAGGUUGGAGAGAUGGGUUAGCAACUAAGAUGCUUGGCUGUAAAACCUAAGGAUCCAGGUUCGAUUCCCCAACACCCAUGUAAAGCUAGAUACACAAAGUAACGCAUGCAUCUGGAGUUUGUUUGCAGAGGCCCUGGCAUGCCCAUUCACUCUCUCUUUCCUUAUAAGUAAAAUAAAUAAAUAAAAGCCAGACAUGCUGGCAUGUGUUUGGCAUCUCAGCACAGGGUAGGAAGAGAAAGAUGGAUCCCUGGGUUCAUUGGUCAGCCAGUAUAGCCUAAUUGGCAAGCUCCAAGCCAAUGAGAGACCUUGUCUCAAAAGAGGUGAGGAAGCCAUUCACCAGAAUGCUGGCUUGCUGCAUGCUAGCACAUUACUCUGGGUACCCAUGAAAGCUCUCCGACUUCAAGUCGGAGUAUCUUCUAAAAUGUCCCUUUGGGAAUUCUCUUCCAUAGCUCUCCUGCUUCAAAUGCCUGUACAUGAGUGAUUCCCAGUUCCCGCCCCAGGCUUGACAAAGCUAACUGGGAGAACUACAGAAGGAUCAAGAAACUAGUCAGUUUGGCUCCAUGAGUGUAUUAGUUUGGGUUAAUUUGAAUGCGAGGGACAGUAAACCCAUAAUGACAAUGACUUGUUGAAAACAAGCUCAAUUCUCUUUCUUGUGCAAACCCCCAAGCUAGCAGCCAGUGCUGGUUUAGCUGUGCUGCUCCCUAAAGUGCUUAGAAAUUCAGGUCCUUUCAUCUUCAUGCCAUCCCUAAGAUGAAACCAGCUUUUAUACAUGGCCCAUCACAUCUGAAUUCCAAGAACUAGACUGGAGGAAUAGAUAAUGAAUAAAGAAAGUUUCUUUUUGUCCAGAAUGGUGUCAAGUUACAUACACAGCUGCAAGGAAAGCAAGAAACACACCUUAAUUCUGGGCUUCUAUACCUUCAGCUGAGAUUCUGUUAUAGAAGAAGGAAUGAACAGGUGGGGGCAGCUAGUGAGGUUAGCCACAAGGGGAGUGGAAAGACCAGCUCUACUCAGUAAAUCCUCAUUAACCCUGCCUUGUGAUUGGGUGGAAAAGACCAGCUCUAUUCAGUACAUCCUCAUUAACCUGGCCUUGUGAUUGGGUGGGCCAACACUCACCAGCCAUACAUAUCCUAGUGUGUGACCACAGGCUGUUUGUGGGGCUGAGCUUCCCAUUGCGUUUUCCUGUUCCUUGGCAUCCUUACUUUAUUAUGUUCACCCUGGGGAGGCAAUACCCUAUAGUGGUGUAAAGCAAUGCUUCUCAAGCUCUUCUUUGUUCUUAAACUUGCAAUUAUUUGCUGACCUGUACAUCUCCUACUACAUGACUGGUGUCCUGUUCACCCAUAUGCCACUCACUGUGGCAAUUGGACACCCCCAAAUCCUCUUCACCAGCAGUAGUCAUUGAUCAUGGGAACAGUUUUAUGAAACUGUGACAGGUUCUUCCAGAUAUUGUCCUCAAUUUCCUUAUCUCACCACAGAUGGGUAAGAUAUGGCUCACAGACAGGUGCUGGGCCACAGACCAUUGUCUGGCUUUAGACUUGAUUUAACUAUUGUGCACUAGAAAGCACUUAAACUUGGUUUUAACCUCUUGAUGUUUGUUCUUGAAUAUUAUAAGUUUCAGUCUCUGAAUGUCAAGUGGAGAUGAUAAUAAUACUUAAUUCACAGAUUUUUUUUUUAAUUUUUUUUGUUCAUUUU